AAGUCGUAACAAGGUUUCCGUAGGUGAACCUGCGGAAGGAUCAUUAACACGUAUCCAAACGUUAAAACCCCCCCCGUGAACCUUCAUCCUGCUCUUGUAACCCGCGUAGUUCGCAAUCUCUGAUAAAUCAUAGCCCGGAAAGUUGUAGUGAUUCAGAGACCUCUGGCUACGUGCGAACAUUGGACACUGGGUAAAAAAACCGAACAACUGUUAACAAUGGAUAUCUUGGUUCUC
Molecule: unclassified non-coding RNA, 234 nt
Filed under: fungal sp.
Lineage: Eukaryota; Fungi
Description: partial internal transcribed spacer region
Rfam family: Eukaryotic small subunit ribosomal RNA (bases 1-46)
Source: RNAcentral